Molecule: small nucleolar RNA, 210 nt
Organism: Jaculus jaculus (lesser Egyptian jerboa)
Lineage: Eukaryota; Metazoa; Chordata; Mammalia; Rodentia; Dipodidae
Product: small nucleolar RNA U3
Exons: 1
Source: RefSeq, a predicted model, not a curated record
AAGACUAUACUUUCAGGGACCAUUUCUACAGUUCAUCACUAGAGAAGUUUCUCUGACCAUGUAGAAUACAGGAAACCACGAGGAUGAGGUGCAGUGUUCUCUCCUGAGCGUGAAGCCUGCUCUUGUUGCUUUGCUGCAACUGCUACUUGCCAUUGAUGAUCAUUCCUGCCCUCCUUGGAGAAGCUGGAGGGAGAGCACGCAGUCUGAGUG